CACAGCAGAAAGACUCUAAAUACAAAAUGCUAACGACACAAGAAUUGCUGUUUGUUCUGUGUUUAACUUAUGCCUUGAGAGCACAGGUGUGUGCUGGAUCCAGUGAGACAGUGUGGUGUGGUCUAUCCAGCCCUGAAGUUACCUGGUACAGACACAAGCCUGGUCAGUCCCCUCAGGCCAUCCUUCUUUACUCAGAGAAGUCCGCUCUGCCUCCAUCUUAUUACAAUGGAUUCAUGGACACAAAGUUCAAGGCUUCCAGUGAAGGAGGAACUAAUAUCCUGGUCAUUGUUAAUGUCACUGAGGACGACACAGCGACAUACUACUGCAGCAAGGAACGUGGGAAGGUGGAGAUUGGGAAUGGAUCUCUGGUGACAUUAACUGGCAGCAUAUGUGGAAGAAUACAAGAUAUUCACACUGAAGGUCAAACCGUGGAUAUUUUUCUGUGUCUUUCAAUCGUCUUUGCUGUCAUCAUAUCGCUGACGUACAUGGGAAUUGCUGUCUACUGUUUCAGAAGAAGAGGUUCAAGGAGUGAACAGACAAAACAGAGAGAGAAGAAGACGAAUGAAACGGAAUAUAUUUAUGAGACCAUGAAUGGUAUUUGCAGGACUUGAGACAUGGAGACAAGGCCGUUUAUGAUGUCUGCAGGACACAGCUGGAUGUGACAUCAGCAGAGAAGAGGAAUAUAUACAGAUAAAUUACCCACAGCUGGAUUCCAGUUGACUCCAAUGCUUAUUUUGUACUGUAUGUGUGUGUGUGUUUAUGUACCGGUUGAGUGAGAUUGAUAGAUUUUUGUUUUUGUUUUAAUGAUUAAAAUCCUCAGAUCAAAAUUUGUUUUUAUAAAACAAAAAUAUUGAAAUUGUUCUUUGGAUUUUGAUUGGAUUUCCAUACUUUUAAGGCUAGUUGCAAUGCAAUCACACCAUCUUUGCUUUCAAGCUGGGAUUUUGGUAUUACCCGCACAACAAUCUUUAUCCUCAGAAUUAUUAAAUGUAAAUACUUGAUGUUCUCUGCAUGUUCAUUAUCACAGUACAAAGUAGUGAGGUAAACAGAUAGAGGAAUGCGUUCAUGAAAUCACAGAGCUGAGUUAAAUUCACAGGGACAUUUGGACCUGGGUGCCUUUCCUUAUUUGUGACUUCCCUGGUUGUAUUGGAGGUCGUCCACUUUCCCACUAGAGAUGCAGAGUGAUAGUGUCCUUGUAUGCUGGAGUGAGUUUAUCCAGUUACUGUAUGUAAAAUACACAAUUGGUAAGUAACACUUCUUAAUGUUCAGUUGUGUAAACCAGUAAUUAUAAUAAUGCCAAAAUGAGGUUGGUUGUCCUUUGUUUUAGAAAAUGUCAAAUUUAGCACAAUAUCUGAAGACAUACUGUACUUCACACAGAACUAACACAGGGCUUGUUCACAGCAGGUGACUCGGAGCUGUUUCAGUUUUCAGUAAAUGAGAUGAUUAACCGGAAAACGUUCAAGUAAAGCAAUGUGGCUUUUCACACACUUUUCUUUCAGCUUCAGCUCUUAUAAGGGGUAAAUUUCAAUCAGUGUCUAGUUUUGAAAAAAUACGUUUGUGA
Molecule: non-coding RNA, 1558 nt
Organism: Lepisosteus oculatus (spotted gar)
Lineage: Eukaryota; Metazoa; Chordata; Actinopteri; Semionotiformes; Lepisosteidae
Source: the annotation of a RefSeq genome assembly